This 667-nucleotide long non-coding RNA is filed under the name Anas platyrhynchos platyrhynchos (common mallard). Its description in RNAcentral is "lncRNA (ENSAPLG00000027184.1)". Lineage: Eukaryota; Metazoa; Chordata; Aves; Anseriformes; Anatidae. The record is from RNAcentral.
AUGGACGUUGAACUAACCAGAUCUCUGCAGCUAUCACAUGAAAAAGGGUUUCUUUCUUCUGGAUCCUUCAGACUUUUCCCAGCCUUGUUUACAGGUAUUUAUGAAACAAACUUCAGAGGAGCACUGGAGAUGACACAGUAUGAAACACAUCCACAGAGGAAGAAUCACCAGACAAAGGCAGCUGCACUCACAGGAACACAGACCUGGCAGGCAGCACCCCACUGCCAGGGCUGGGAGGGCUUCCAGCUCAUCUGCCUGGGCUACUCAGGUCCGCAGAGUAAGUUACUUCUCAAAAGAAGAGAUGACCUUGGUAACCUCCUACUGGAACUCUUGUGUUUCAUCUUUAACAUGAAACAGUCAAGCAGCGACAUAACCCAAGCCGCACCCAGGCAUACACGUGAGCUGAAGGCGAGAAUGGGCCUGUCCAGCACGUGGAGCUGCAAGGAGAAAAGCUUUUAAUGUCCCAUGACUGGGAGCUCACCCAGAGACCUUCCUCUGCACACAGCAGCGAUGGACCAGGCAAUUUCAAUGGGAUCAUAUGUAUACAUUUACUUAACUCCCUGUAAAACCCAAGCCUUUAGAACACAUGUGUACAGCUGUUCCAUAGGAGGCACACCUAUAUUACAGCAUGUAAUUAGUUAAUAAAUUUGAAAUCUAGAGGAGCCCA